Molecule: ribosomal RNA, 253 nt
Filed under: uncultured bacterium
Lineage: Bacteria
Description: partial 16S ribosomal RNA
Rfam family: Bacterial small subunit ribosomal RNA
Source: RNAcentral
UACGAAGGGGGCUAGCGUUGCUCGGAAUCACUGGGCGUAAAGCGCACGUAGGCGGCUUACUAAGUCAGGGGUGAAAUCCUGGAGCUCAACUCCAGAACUGCCUUUGAUACUGGUGAGCUUGAGUCCGGAAGAGGUGAGUGGAACUGCGAGUGUAGAGGUGAAAUGCGCAGAUAUCAGGAAGAACACCCGUGGCGAAGGCGGCUCUCUGGGACGUGACUGACGCUGAGACGCGAAAGCGUGGGGAGCAAACAGG